UACGUAGGGUGCGAGCGUUACUCGGAAUUACUGGGCGUAAAGCGUGCGCAGGCGGCUUUGCAAGACAGAUGUGAAAUCCCCGGGAUCAACCUGGGAACUGCAUUUGUGACUGCAAGGCUAGAGUACGGCAGAGGGGGAUGGAAUUCCGCGUGUAGCAGUGAAAUGCGUAGAUAUGCUGAGGAACACCAAUGGCGAAGGCAAUCCCCUGGGCCUGUACUGACGCUCAGGUGCGAAAGCGUGGGGAGCAAACAGG
RNAcentral lists this ribosomal RNA (253 nucleotides) under uncultured bacterium. RNAcentral describes it as "partial 16S ribosomal RNA". It matches the Rfam family "Bacterial small subunit ribosomal RNA", at positions 524 to 776 of the family's 1533-position model. The record is from RNAcentral.